This 278-nucleotide long non-coding RNA is filed under the name Arachis ipaensis. RNAcentral describes it as "long non-coding RNA (AIPA_LNC000697)". The record is from RNAcentral. Lineage: Eukaryota; Viridiplantae; Streptophyta; Magnoliopsida; Fabales; Fabaceae.
AAGUAAAUGAUUACGUGACUCGGUUUGGCUUAGAUCCUAUUUUAUUACUCAAAUCGGAAAGCCAAGGUUUUAAUGAUUUUAAAUGAAUUCGGCGAAAUGAGUUAUGCUAGUCUCCCCUAAAGACUUGGGACUCUGUCGAGAAACUUUGUUAUAAAAUCCCAUUGUGGGAUGGGUGAUUUUGAAUGUUCCCAAAAUGAAUCUUUAACUUUCCAUGGUUUUGGAAGUUUUGGAAAGAGUAUGCCGAGAGUGGCUUUGUUUUAAAAAGGGAACUCACUUUG